Molecule: ribosomal RNA, 512 nt
Filed under: uncultured bacterium
Lineage: Bacteria
Description: bacterial SSU rRNA
Rfam family: Bacterial small subunit ribosomal RNA
Source: RNAcentral
UGAGGAAUAUUGCCCAAUGGAGGAAACUCUGAGGCAGCGACGCCGCGUGGGUGAUGAAGGCCUUCGGGUCGUAAAGCCCUUUUCUGCAUGACGAGCAAGGACGGUAGUGCAGGAAAAAGUCUCGGCUAACUACGUGCCAGCAGCCGCGGUAAAACGUAGGAGGCAAGCGUUAUCCGGAGUUACUGGGCGUAAAGCGUGCGUAGGCGGAUGAGUAAGUGGGUGGGUGAAAGCGCUCGGCUAAACCGGGCGAGUGCCAUUCAGACUGCUUGUCUAGAGGCGGAUAGAGGGGUGCGGAAUUCCGGGUGUAGCGGUGAAAUGUGUAGAGAUCCGGAGGAACACCAGUGGUGCAAACGGCGCCCUGGGUCCGAACUGACGCUGAUGCACGAAAGCGUGGGGAGCGAACGGGAUUAGAGACCCCGGUAGUCCACGCCGUAAACGAUGUCAACUAGGUGUCCACUGGACUACGGUCCAGGGGGUGCCGACGCUAACGCACUAAGUUGACCGCCUGGGGA